UAGGGAAUCUUGGACAAUGGGCGAACGCCUGAUCCAGCCAUGCCGCGUGAGUGAAGAAGGCCCUAGGGUUGUAAAGCUCUUUUGGCGGGGACGAUAAUGACGGUACCCGCAGAAUAAGCUCAGGCUAACUUCGUGCCAGCAGCCGCGGUAAUACGAAGGGGGCUAGCGUUGUUCGGAAUUACUGGGCGUAAAGCGCACGCAGGCGGAUUGGUAAGUUAGAGGUGAAAUCCCGGGGCUCAACCUCGGAAUUGCCUUUGAUACUGCCAGUCUUGAGUCCGGGAGAGGUGAGUGGAAUUCCUAUUGUAGAGGUGAAAUUCGUAGAUAUUAGGAAGAACACCAGUGGCGAAGGCGGCUCACUUGCCCGGAACUGACGCUCAGGUGCGAAAGCGUUGGGAGCAAACAGGAUUAGAUACCCCCGUAGUCC
This 424-nucleotide ribosomal RNA is filed under the name uncultured prokaryote. RNAcentral's name for it is "bacterial SSU rRNA". It matches the Rfam family "Bacterial small subunit ribosomal RNA", at positions 355 to 796 of the family's 1533-position model. The record is from RNAcentral.